This 443-nucleotide ribosomal RNA is filed under the name uncultured bacterium. RNAcentral describes it as "partial 16S ribosomal RNA". It matches the Rfam family "Bacterial small subunit ribosomal RNA", at positions 338 to 795 of the family's 1533-position model. The record is from RNAcentral.
CCUACGGGUGGCAGCAGUGGGGAAUAUUGGGCAAUGGGCGCAAGCCUGACCCAGCAAAGCCGCGUGAAGGAAGAAGGCGUUAGGGUUGUAAACUUCUUUUUUCAGGGACGAAGCAAGUGACGGUACCUGAUGAAUAAGCCACGGCUAACUACGUGCCAGCAGCCGCGGGAAUACGUAGGUGGCAAGCGUUAUCCGGAUUCACUGGGUGUAAAGGGCGUGUAGGCGGGAAAGCAAGUCAGAUGUGAAAACCAUGGGCCCAACCUGUGCCCUGCAUUUGAAACUGUUUUUCUUGAGUACUGGAGAGGCAGACGGAAUUCCUAGUGUAGCGGUGAAAUGCGUAGAUAUUAGGAGGAACCCCAGUUGCGAAGGCGGUCUGCUGGACAGCAACUGACGCUGAGGCGCGAAAGCGUGGGGAGCGAACAGGAUUAGAUACCCGUGUAGUC